CUACGGCUGAACCAGCAACUUGGAGGAAUGAAAAAGCAAUAGCAGAUUGCAUUUAAUUUAAUGUAGUUACUACUUGGUAGUUUAAAUUUCUAGGUAGAAUUAUGAUGAUGACAUUAUCUAUCUAUUAGUCUUGGACCAAAUUACGUGCCAGCAGUCGCGGUAAUACGUAGAAGACAAGUGUUAUUCAUCUUUAUUAGGUUUAAAGAGUACCAAGACGGUUAAUAAAGCCCAAAAUAAAUGAAUACGGGGGACACAUUAACUAGAGUUAUAUGAAAGGAAGCUCUAAGGUACUGUUGAGUGUAGAGAUGAAAUUUUAUGAUACCAGAUGAUUGGCACAGAUUUAUGCGAAGGCAUCUUCUUAUGUAAUAACUGACGUUGUAGGACGAAGGCUUAGAAAGUGAACAGGAUUAGGUACCCCAGUAACCUUGGCAGAAAAUGAUGAAUGUCAUAGGCUGAUUAAAAAUUGGAGGUGAGCUAGGAUAGGUUAUCCAAAGGCUGAUUAAAAUUGGAGCUAAGGAUAGGUUAUCCAAAGGCUAAUAACUUAAUUUUUAUUGGCUAUUGGCUCGAUCUGGUUAGAGGGCCCAGAUUCGAUUCUCGAAAUGGGGAUCAACAAUACGACAAUCAGUCUAUAAAUGAAAGUGUAAGCAUUCCACCUCAAGAGUAAUUUGGCAACAUUGGAACUGAAAUCAUUAGACCGUUUCUGAAACCAGUAGUGAAGUAUGUUGUUUAAUUAGAUGAUACACAAAAACCUUACCACAACUUGAAUAUAUAUAAAAUAUAUUUACAAGCGCUGCACGGCUGUCUACAGUUAAUGUCGUGAGACUAUGGUUAACUCCUUUAAAUUGACGAAAACCCUAAUUUUAUUUAUAAAUAUAAUUAACAUUGUUAUAUUUUAUGUUUUAAGAGGGAAUAUGACAAGUCAUCAUGGCCAAAUUAU
RNAcentral lists this ribosomal RNA (937 nucleotides) under Sticta sp. 1 NM-2015. Its description in RNAcentral is "mitochondrial SSU rRNA". It matches the Rfam family "Bacterial small subunit ribosomal RNA", at positions 339 to 1207 of the family's 1533-position model. The record is from RNAcentral. Lineage: Eukaryota; Fungi; Ascomycota; Lecanoromycetes; Peltigerales; Lobariaceae.